GAUUCCCCUAGUAACUGCGAGUGAAGCGGGAAAAGCUCAAAUUUAAAAUCUGGCGGUCUUUGGCCCGUCCGAGUUGUAGUCUGGAGAAGUGCUUUCCGCGCUGGACCGUGUAUAAGUCUCUUGGAACAGAGCGUCAUAGAGGGUGAGAAUCCCGUCUUUGACACGGACUACCAGUGCUUUGUGAUGCGCUCUCAAAGAGUCGAGUUGUUUGGGAAUGCAGCUCAAAAUGGGUGGUGAAUUCCAUCUAAAGCUAAAUAUUGGCGAGAGACCGAUAGCGAACAAGUACCGUGAGGGAAAGAUGAAAAGCACUUUGGAAAGAGAGUUAAACAGUACGUGAAAUUGCUGAAAGGGAAACGCUUGAAGUCAGUCGCGUCUGCCGGAACUCAGCCUUCCUUUUGGUUGGUGCACUUUCCGGUAGACGGGCCAGCAUCGAUUUCGACCGUCGGAAAAGGGCUGGGGAAAUGUGGCACCUUUCGGGGUGUGUUAUAGUCCUCAGUCGCAUACGUCGGUUGGGAUCGAGGAUCGCAGCGCGCCGCAAGGCAGGGGUUCGCCCACUUUCGCGCUUAGGAUGCUGGCAUAAUGGCUUUAAACGACCCGUCUUGAAACACGGACCAAGGAGUCUAACAAACCUGCGAGUGUUUGGGUGGAAAACCCGAGCGCGUAAUGAAAGUGAAAGUUGAGACCUCUGUCGUGGAGGGCAUCGACGCCCGGACCUGACGUUCUCUGACGGAUCCGCGGUAGAGCAUGUUUGUUGGGACCCGAAAGAUGGUGACCUAUGCCUGAAUAGGGUGAAGCCAGAGGAAACUCUGGUGGAGGCUCGUAGCGAUUCUGACGUGCAAAUCGAUCGUCAAAUUUGGGUAUAGGGGCGAAAGACUAAUCGAACCAU
This 886-nucleotide ribosomal RNA is filed under the name Polyporus arcularius. Its description in RNAcentral is "eukaryotic LSU rRNA". It matches the Rfam family "Eukaryotic large subunit ribosomal RNA", at positions 73 to 943 of the family's 3401-position model. The record is from RNAcentral. Lineage: Eukaryota; Fungi; Basidiomycota; Agaricomycetes; Polyporales; Polyporaceae.